GACAGAGGUGCCGAGCGUUAGGCGGAAUCACUGGGCUUAAAGCGUGUGUAGGCGGGUCGUUAAGUGUCUUGUGAAAUCCCACCGCUCAACGGUGGAACCGCUGGGCAUACUGGCGAUCUUGAGCAGUCCAGGGGCGAAGCGGAACAAGCGGUGGAGCGGUGAAAUGCGUAGAUAAUCGCUUGGAACGCCGACGGUGAAAACAGCUCGCUGGGGACUCGCUGACGCUGAGACAGAAAAGCCAGGGGAGCGAAACGGG
RNAcentral lists this ribosomal RNA (256 nucleotides) under uncultured bacterium. RNAcentral describes it as "partial 16S ribosomal RNA". It matches the Rfam family "Bacterial small subunit ribosomal RNA", at positions 524 to 777 of the family's 1533-position model. The record is from RNAcentral.